Molecule: long non-coding RNA, 235 nt
Organism: Acanthochromis polyacanthus (spiny chromis)
Lineage: Eukaryota; Metazoa; Chordata; Actinopteri; Pomacentridae
Exons: 2
Source: RefSeq, a predicted model, not a curated record
AAGAGUUGCGACACUCCCAUAGGGUGGCGUUGUACGCUUUCUUUCGGUCUACUUCCGGGUUGUGGAGGCUUGUUUAGUUCCUAGCACCGCUUCGACAGUGACAGCCACCGUUCAUUUGCACUGCAGGUUGUUGAGUAUAUGUGGAGUAUCCCGAGAGCCCUCACUGAAGACACGAAGACCCUCAUUGUUUCUCCCAUUGUCAAUAAAACAUACUAUUUCAUUCAUCAAAGCAUAA